UCAAGAAUCCAAAGAAGAACGAGGAAAAGAAAAAGUAAAGGACUAAAUUGUAAGGUUUAGUCACAUUUUGUAUCAAGUACUUAUCUAGUCACUCGGGGAUCGAAGGAAAUGUCGGAGGCCGAUCACACUAUCAAAGAAAUAACUCGGUAUAACUAGACGUUUUGUUUUGGGUAUGGCAUGUAUAGAAACUUAGCUACUUUUGGUAUAAUAUGAAUAAUGAAUGAUGUGUAAA
Long non-coding RNA from Gossypium arboreum, 232 nucleotides. RefSeq lists it as uncharacterized. The transcript has 2 exons. The record is from RefSeq and is a predicted model, not a curated record. NCBI's taxonomy places the organism in Eukaryota, Viridiplantae, Streptophyta, Magnoliopsida, Malvales, Malvaceae.